Molecule: ribosomal RNA, 250 nt
Filed under: uncultured bacterium
Lineage: Bacteria
Description: partial 16S ribosomal RNA
Rfam family: Bacterial small subunit ribosomal RNA
Source: RNAcentral
UACGAAGGAUGCAAGCGUUAUCCGGAAUUAUUGGGUUUAAAGGGUGCGUAGGCGGACUGAUAAGUCAGUGGUGAAAGCCUGCAGCUUAACUGCAGAAUUGCCGUUGAUACUGUCAGUCUUGAGUACAGUUGAGGUAGGCGGAAUGUGUCAUGUAGCGGUGAAAUGCUUAGAUAUGACACAGAACACCGAUUGCGAAGGCAGCUUGCUAAGCUGUAACUGACGCUGAGGCACGAAAGCGUGGGGAGCAAAC